Molecule: ribosomal RNA, 492 nt
Filed under: uncultured bacterium
Lineage: Bacteria
Description: partial 16S ribosomal RNA
Rfam family: Bacterial small subunit ribosomal RNA
Source: RNAcentral
AGUGAACGCUGGCGGUAGGCCUAACACAUGCAAGUCGAACGGCAGCACAGUAAGAGCUUGCCCUUACGGGUGGCGAGUGGCGGACGGGUGAGGAAUACAUCGGAAUCUACUUUUUCGUGGGGGAUAACGUAGGGAAACUUACGCUAAUACCGCAUACGACCUACGGGUGAAAGCAGGGGAUCUUCGGACCUUGCGCGAUUGAAUGAGCCGAUGUCGGAUUAGCUAGUUGGCGGGGUAAAGGCCCACCAAGGCGACGAUCCGUAGCUGGUCUGAGAGGAUGAUUCGGCCCCCUGGAACCGAGGCACGGUUCCGACUUCUACGGGAGGCCGCCGGGGGGAAUAUUUGACCAUGGGGGGAAGCCCUAUCCAGCCCUACCGCGUGGGUGAAGAAGGCCUUCGGGUUUUAAAGCCCCUUUGUUUGGAAAGAAAAGCCGCCGGGUUAAACCCCGCCUUUCUGACGGUACCCAAAGAAUAAGCACCGGCUAACUUCGUG